This 73-nucleotide transfer RNA is filed under the name Canis lupus familiaris (dog). It matches the Rfam family "tRNA". From Rfam's summary of the family: Transfer RNA (tRNA) molecules are approximately 80 nucleotides in length. Their secondary structure includes four short double-helical elements and three loops (D, anti-codon, and T loops). Further hydrogen bonds mediate the characteristic L-shaped molecular structure. tRNAs have two regions of fundamental functional importance: the anti-codon, which is responsible for specific mRNA codon recognition, and the 3' end, to which the tRNAs corresponding amino acid is attached (by aminoacyl-tRNA synthetases). tRNAs cope with the degeneracy of the genetic code in two manners: having more than one tRNA (with a specific anti-codon) for a particular amino acid; and 'wobble' base-pairing, i.e. permitting non-standard base-pairing at the 3rd anti-codon position. The record is from Rfam by way of RNAcentral. Lineage: Eukaryota; Metazoa; Chordata; Mammalia; Carnivora; Canidae. RNAcentral also lists the same sequence under 1 other name.
GGCCAGCUGGCUCAGUUGGUAGAGCAUGCGACUCUUGAUCUCAGGGUCGUGAGUUCAAGCCGCACGUUGGGUG